RNAcentral lists this ribosomal RNA (460 nucleotides) under uncultured bacterium. RNAcentral's name for it is "partial 16S ribosomal RNA". It matches the Rfam family "Bacterial small subunit ribosomal RNA", at positions 338 to 795 of the family's 1533-position model. The record is from RNAcentral.
CCUACGGGUGGCAGCAGUGAGGAAUAUUGGUCAAUGGGCGUAAGCCUGAACCAGCCAAGCCGCGUGAGGGAUGAAGGUUCUAUGGAUCGUAAACCUCUUUUAUAAGGGAGUAAAGUGCGGGACGUGUCCCGUUUUGUAUGUACCUUAUGAAUAAAGAUCGGCUAACUCCGUGCCAGCAGCCGCGGUAAUCCGGAGGGUCCGAGCGUUAUCCGGAUUUAUUGGGUUUAAAGGGUGCGUAGGCGGUAUUUUAAGUCAGCGGUGAAAGCCUGUGGCUCAACCUUGGAAUUGACGUUGAAACUGGGAGGCUUGAGUCUGGUUGAGGGAGGCGGAAUGCGUGGUGUAGCGGUGAAAUGCUUAGAGAUCACGCAGAACCCCGAUUGCGAAGGCAGCCUGCCAGGCCAUGACUGACGCUGAUGCACGAAAGCGUGGGGAGCAAACAGGAUUAGAUACCCCAGUAGUC